RNAcentral lists this ribosomal RNA (492 nucleotides) under uncultured bacterium. RNAcentral's name for it is "partial 16S ribosomal RNA". It matches the Rfam family "Bacterial small subunit ribosomal RNA", at positions 29 to 507 of the family's 1533-position model. The record is from RNAcentral.
AGUGAACGCUGGCGGUAGGCCUAACACAUGCAAGUCGAACGGCAGCACAGUAAGAGCUUGCUCUUACGGGUGGCGAGUGGCGGACGGGUGAGGAAUACAUCGGAAUCUACUUUUUCGUGGGGGAUAACGUAGGGAAACUUACGCUAAUACCGCAUACGACCUACGGGUGAAAGCAGGGGAUCUUCGGACCUUGCGCGAUUGAAUGGGCCGAUGUCGGAUUAGCUAGUUGGCGGGGUAAAGGCCCACCAAGGCGACGAUCCGUAGCUGGUCUGAGAGGAUGAUCAGCCACACUGGAACUGAGACACGGUCCAGACUCCUACGGGAGGCAGCAGUGGGGAAUAUUGGACAAUGGGCGCAAGCCUGAUCCAGCCAUACCGCGUGGGUGAAGGAGGCCUUCGGGUUGUAAAGCCCUUUUGUUGGGAAAGAAAAGCAGCAGGUUAAUACCCCGCUGUUCUGACGGUACCCAAAGAAUAAGCACCGGCUAACUUCGUG